ACUCACAGAGUUCACGCCUGAGUGCGGGAACUUGUUCCAAUAAACUUCCAAGUAAAUGCUACAGUUCCCAUUGUGCUGAGGGCCCUGAAGAGGGACAGGCUGUGUGGCGCGUGUCUACAUGGGAGCAACAGAGUGACAUCUACAGGAACAGGACCUGACUCCACCAAAAAGUGCAUGGCUCUAGAUAUGCCAAAGAGAAGGACUCUGUUCUUUGAAAACAGCCAUCCAUACCUGCUGAGAUACAGGAGAGAGGAAGGGUGGCGGCCCGAGGGAAAGGUGCAGUAGACCCUAGACUGUGAUGUUCUUUUAGAUCCUCUCCUAAAGACUGGAGGGGUCUCAGCUUAUACUUCUUCAUUCCUAUUUUCUACCAAGGAGGUGAGAAGCCCCAAAACAUCAUGGCAUGAAUCUAUGACCACCUCAGACAACCACCACUAGGCUUUAAAAAGGAGAUCAGCAGACCACAGCGGAAUCUGCUUAAUUAACAUGAGACAAAUUCAACUAAAGGAAAUGCCACAAAAGAUAUUUGAAUUUUUUAAUGUCAGAAUCAAUUGUCUGGAUUUUUUUCUUUUCUUUCUUUCUUUCUUUCUUUCUUUCUUUCUUUCUUUCUUUCUUUCUUUCUUUUUUUGUCAAUAGAAAUUUAUAAAAGAAGGAUAGAGUAGAAGUGUAGAAGAGUCUUGAUAUGUGGAAUGGGGAUUAUGAUUCUACUAUCAGCAUUUUGUUGUCAACUAGCUGGGGAUUUACACCCUUCGGGCAUCACCCAGUUGCCUUUAAGCUUCCUCUCCUGUUGGCACAUGUAGAGACUGUAUAGGCCAGCAGGAGCUGCGAGGACAUAUUUGGACUUCUUGGCCAGCAAUGGAAACAUUUAAAAUCUUGAUCUGAUAUUACGAGAAACCUCUAAGCCUCUGGCCUCAAAGAAGAAAGAUGAGGAAAGUAGGAGAAAGUUACCCAGAAAGAAUCAAGAGAACAGUAAUAUGGCUGUCACCCCUAGUGGGUAGCUGGGAUAGAAAAUCCUCCUAGACAGAAAGACUUCACUACAGUGACUGCUUUCCAGGAUGGUCCAUGAGAGGAAUUUAUCAUUUUGAUGACAACUCCUCAUAGUAUGUGUUCCAAAACCUUUGGGUCAUUUUCCUUUUUUGACAAACCAUUGCUUUCUUUCUGUAUCUUGUUUUAAAAUAGUACAGGACAAAAAUCUUUUGGGAAAUGUAAUCGUAAGAGAGUUACCUAGCAGCAAUCAAACUAGAACUGUAUUUACAAUGAAUAUCAAUUACAAUAUAAAUAUAAAUGGUAAAGUUUAUGCUCAGAGAUACCUGGCCAUCUUCUUGUGAUUUUGUUGCCUUAAAAGAAGCCAUUAUAAUCUAUAUUGCUACUGUCAAUGAUGGUCUUAAAAGAGUUCAAGGCUAUGAGUCAUGAGAAAGAUAUAUAACUUGAAAGUACUAUAAAUUGUAUUAACUGUUUUGAGUAAGUUAGAGAAUGAAGAUCACUUGGUUACCCUUAAUAACAGAAAAACACAUGAGAAGGAAAAUUUCUUGUCUAAUUAGAGCCCCAAAUAACAUUUAGAUCUGUUUCUAAUAUUUUAAUUAUCUAUAGCUACCCUGCCUAUCAAAUAAACAACCUUUAAAAUAAGGAUUAUGCUGUAUGAAUUUUGAAACAAACCAAAUAUGAAAACAAUUAGCUCAAGUGUCCCAAAUGUACUGAAAUCUCUUCAAGGCCCCUGAGAAUCAGAUGAGAUUGACAGAAAAGGGGAAAGUAGAAUGCCUUUUAUUGCUAUGAUAAGGAAAGUUUCAAAAUUGUUUCAUUAGGUAUUUUUUCUCUUGGUCUAAAGAACUUUGAGAAACAGAGGCAACUUGAAAAUGGGCCUGGUAUUCAAACACAUCUGUGGGUUGCAAACAAACUAAGAGGAGGUAGAACAGGGAAAACUUUGUGGAGACAGGGUUCAGAAAAUUACUGAUGCAGGGAGACUCUAGAUCUGCACUGUCUCUGUUCUAUAUGGUAGUUUCUAUCUAUCAUGUGUGGCCACUUAAACUAAAAUCACACAAAACUUUUAAAAUUCAGUCUUCCAUCUCACUAACCAUUCUUCAUGUCUUCAUGGGCUGCAGUUGGUAAAUGACCACUGUAUUGGACAAUAGGGAUCAUUUCCCCUAUUAUGUAAAGUUCUUUUGGAUAGCACUCCUGUAGACAUUGGUUCCCAAUCUUCAAAUAACUGAACCUAUUUUUAACAUGAAAAAAGUGUACAGAUUCCCAUGAUGGGACUUUGAGUGUAGCAUCUACUAGUUGAAAAACACACAGUAUGACAAUAGCUACAAUAAGGGUAACAAAACAAAAAUCCAUUUAAAAGCAUUGCUGAGCACCAGAGCCUCUACAGACAUUUGAAAAAUAGUG
Long non-coding RNA from Marmota monax (woodchuck), 2379 nucleotides. RefSeq lists it as uncharacterized. The record is from RefSeq and is a predicted model, not a curated record. NCBI's taxonomy places the organism in Eukaryota, Metazoa, Chordata, Mammalia, Rodentia, Sciuridae. The transcript is spliced from 3 exons.